UUGCCCAACAUUGUAAAUGCAUUAAUUGACACGGAAUUGUUCCUUUUAAAAUGGUUCAUUUUCUAUUAUGUGAAUUUCACUUCAAUGUAAAAAAAAGAAAGAAAAAAAAAGCCUCAGUGUUCUGACUAGUAAAAAGAGGCUAAUAACACUACUUAUUUCAUGGAGAGGUGGUAAGGAAUAAGAUAACAGGCACAAGUGGCAGCAUUCAGCUAUUGAAUAAAGGGUAGCCAGUGUUCUCUGAAUGCUGCUUUCUGGGGUUGCACCAAGGGAUGCUCCAAAUCUCUUUCCUCGCCCCUAGGGAACGUGGCUUAAGUUCCGGCGCAAAGAACCGAAAAGCCCGAAGAGCUGUAGCUGCGAGGUGGCGCCUAACGCGGUCACAGUCGUGCUCCUUGCUGGUGGGCAGCGCUGAGAGGAGAGCAGCGCUCGCAGGACUGGGCGGGGGAUCCCGCAGGCGGCAGGGAACCCGCGGGUCUUUCCCUACCUGAGAGCUGCACGGUUGGCCACCAGGGCGCGCUGCAGGAGUCGCCUUUCCCAGAAAUCGGGCAGAGAUUUAGGCCUUACAGUUACUUAAACUUGUAACCCUCCCAGUAGCUGUGGAGUCUAGUAAACAUGGGUUCUGCCGGGUUCGCCAGUCAUCCCAGGCUACUGAGGGGCAGGCACGGGGCCCGUGGGCCAGAGGAGACCUCCAGGCUUCUCUCCCACUCUUCUCUGGCCUGCACCCCCUCUCGGGUAGAGGCUGCCCCUCCUGCUUGGGUUCAGCCACCUCCAAAUAUUGCAUCAACGGCCCGUGCCUCUGCCUGCGGGGCUGGGCCAGCGCCAGAGAGGCAGGCGAAGUGCCAACCGCCCGGGGGCAGCAGCUGGCGAGUUGAGGCAGAGCUGCCAGAACCUCACCGCCACCAAGAUUGCUACCUGGAGAUUCCUGCUUGCCCCCAACCCCAGAUGGAUUAAAGCUUUUCCUUGCCGGAGAGUUAUGACUAUUAACUGUGGCAAAGAUUUCUGCUUCAUUUUGUUUUCCAACCUGGGAAUUUCUACUUAUGUCUCUAAGGAACUCUGUCAAGUUUGCCUUUUACCCAAAAAACUUUACUGUUCUUAAUACCCACAUUCCUUGGGAAAAACAGAGAGAACUAAUGAAAUUUGAAAGCUAAGAUGAACAAUACUCCCUUAAACUCCUAUGGUCUAAAAUCUUCUCUUUUCCGGCUGGAACCAUGGAGAGUGUCAAAGAGAAGGAGGUUCCUGCUGUGCCAGAAAAUGAGAAGGAAUUUCUCAGAGCCGAAGAUCAAGUGCCUAAGAAAUAAGUUUGCCCAAAAGAUGCUUCAAAGGGCAAGGAAGAAGCUUAUCCGUGACCAAGUGAACAGGCAGAUGUACAGAACUGAAAUCUGAAUGGCAGGCAUGGCAGGAAAAGCUGGCAACUUCUAUGUCCCCACAGGACCCACACUGACGUUUGUCAUCAGGAUCAGAGGUAUCAAUGGUGUGAGCCAAAGAAUCCGAAAGGUGUUGCAAUUCUUCGCCUUUGUCAAAUCUUCAGUGGAAGCUUUGUGAAGCUCGACAAGGCUUCAAUUAACAUGCCGAGGACUGUAGAGCCAUGUAAUGCAUGGGGGUACCCACAUCUGAAGUCAGUAAAUGAACUACUCUGCAAGCCUGUUUAUGGCAAAGUCAGUAAGAGGCGAAUUGCUUUGACAGGUAACUCUUUGAUUGCUCGAUCUCUUGGUAAAUAUGGCAUCACCUGCAUGGAGGAUCUGAUUCAUGAGAUUUAUACUGUUGGGAAAUGCUUCAAAGAAGCAAAUAGGCCAGGUGUAAUGGCUCACUGUAAUCCCAGCACUUUCAGAGGCCAAGGUGGGUGGAUUACCUGAGGUCAGGAGUUCGAGACCAGCCUGGCCAACAUGGUGAAACCCCGUCUCUACUAAAAAUGCAAAAAUUAGCCAGGCAUGGUGGUGCGUGCUGGUAACCCCAGCUACUCAAGAGGCCGAGGUAGGCGAAUUGCUCGAAUCCAGGAGACGGACGUUGCAGUGAGCCAAGAUUGUACCACUGCAUUCUAGCCUGGGCAACAAAGUGAGACUCCAUCUCAAUUAAAAAAAAAAAGAAGCAAAUAACUUCCUGUGACCCUUCAAAUGAUCAUCUCCACAAGGCGGAAUGAAGAAAUAGACCAACUAUUUUGUAGAAGGUGGAGAUUCUGGCAACAGGCUUAUUAGAAGACUAUCUUCCAUGAUUAUUUUGCUACGCUGCUCAGUUAAUAAACAGUACCUGCUCUCAAAUUGAAAAAAAAAAAUCUUACCUCUAGCUUCAGUGUGAAUAAGAUCAACACUUUCUGGGACCCACAGGUGACCUCCUUAUGAAUUAAUAUGAGGCCAAGCUGGGUGUGGUGGCUCGUGUCUGUAGUCUUAGCUACUCAGGAGGCUGAGGUGGGAGAUUGCUUGACGCCAAGAGUUUGAGGCUGUAGUGCACUGUGACUGCGCCUGUGAACAGCUACUGCACUCCAGCCUAGGAACAUAGCAACACUGUGGUGUUUGCGCCAAGGGCUCGAGACAGCUAGUUGACUCGCCCCAGUUUGGCUGCUGGACCUGUCUGCAUUUCCCCACCUCGAGGGCUGUCGAGUGAGACAAAGGGCCGUGAGCUGACUCACUAAAAGCAACAACAGAAUGCAAAGCAAAGGCCUGCAGUUUAUGAGGACAUUGUGCUGUCUGCUUCCAUGUCCCCCUUCAGUCUCUGUGUAAGCAAUAAACUUGCUGCAAUUGAGAUGCCUAAGAGGAGCAGAGACCUCUGCCCAUAUUUUCCCUGGAGCCAAGCCUUUGUUUUAGCUCCUGGUGAAAAACAGGUUUAACCAGCCACCUUAAGGGCGCCAUUGUAUCUUUGAAAUGUAAAAUCUUUGAAAUGUAAACUACUAUCACUAGCCCCCUUAAACUGCUUUCUGAGCAGGAUAUCACAAGCCCCUGAUAACUAUUUUUUAUGGAGUUUCUAUUUCCUUUCUGUCUACCCCUUUCUUUCUGCUGAGAUAAGGUAAAUGUAAACAAGAAAAAAGGUAUAAAAGCUGUAACCCACAAGAAUAAAUUUGCUGCGUUUUGGCCAUAAUCUUCACGCAGCCCUCCAGA
Molecule: long non-coding RNA, 3086 nt
Organism: Callithrix jacchus (white-tufted-ear marmoset)
Lineage: Eukaryota; Metazoa; Chordata; Mammalia; Primates; Cebidae
Source: RefSeq, a predicted model, not a curated record